CCCACUUGGUCCUGGAGCGUCCUUCCUCCUCAGCAAUCUUUCUGCUUUCUGUGAGCUGCCAGAGGCUUCAGGAGCCCCCCACGCAGCAAAUGCCCCUUGGUCCCUCAUUUGGAACAGAGCAACAUGUGGCCUGGGUGCCUGUCUGCCACUUCACCACCAGGCGCUGAUGGUGCCUAGUGUCUUCCCCUCCUUCCACAGAAUAAAGGAGGAGAGGCUGGUGUGGGUGAGCCAGGGACACGCCAGAGCCUAAACCAUGCCAGUCCCCACCUGUCCGAUCAAUUUCCUGUUCUCUGCACCAGGCCCCCAUCCGUGCCAGCA
Molecule: long non-coding RNA, 318 nt
Filed under: Fukomys damarensis (Damara mole-rat)
Lineage: Eukaryota; Metazoa; Chordata; Mammalia; Rodentia; Bathyergidae
Description: lncRNA (ENSFDAG00000031149.1)
Source: RNAcentral